AGUGCUGCUGGUGCCGGAGUCCGGAAGCUGACGGCGUUGCCUAGGCUGGAUUGCAGCGGUGCGAUCAGGACUCAUUGCAUCCUCAACCUCCCCGACUCAAGCAGUCCUCCCACCUCAGCCUCCUGAGUAGCAAGGCUACAGGAAAAACAAAUAAUCCUCAGCACUGAAGUUCAAAGCCAUGGUUCCUGCGUGUUCCUUAACAUGACACAGGUGGGCCUUCAUUGAAAACACCUUCAGCUCCUCCAGCUCAAUUCUCAUGAAAACAAACAGCGGUGCCCUUUGCCCAAGGUGGAAGAGGUGGCCGUGAAAUCCUCAUCAGCUUCCUGUAUAUUGCAGAACCUCAAUCAGGCCGUGCUGCAGGGGUGAGGACCUGGUCGUCCACCUGGAGCUCACCAGGGGAAAUAGGGGCAGUGUCCCGCAGGCAGUGAACUGGCACAGCACCCCUGCCCCUGACCCUCGCCAUUGCCAUUGUGAUGGGGGAGGGGUCAGGGCCCCUCUGCACAGUCCAAGCCACAGCAAAAUCUGGGAAGUCUCCUGGUCUUUGCCCAGGAAACAGCCUUCCUAGACAGGCUCUGAAUUAUUCACCUCUUCCCCUUCAUAUUACAACUGCCACUCAGACGUGAAGGUGCAGCACAAAGCUUCAGAAACAAUGGAAGAAACUGAAAUCAGGAUCCUGACUCCUGCAUGGGAAAGCUAUAGCUGUGUGACUUUGUGCAAAUCACACACCUGUUCUGUGUCUUGCGUCUGCAUCUGUGAAAUGCAGGUGAACCUAGCACUUACCUUUGAGGGCUCCUUGGAGAAUUAAAUGAAUUAAUUCAUACAAAGGACUUAGAGAGAUGUCCGGCACUGAGUAAACACUCAGUGCUAGCUGUUAUGAUGAUGAUUAAAGAUAAUCAAAGCUUGUGCUUUUUAAUAGACAAUUUUUUUUGGAACAGUUCUAGAUUCACUACAAACUUGAGAGGAAGGUACAGUGAUUUUUCAUAGCCUCCCUACCUCCCCCCAUCAUCAACAUCCCCCACCAGAGUGAUAUGUUUGCUACAACUGAUGAACCUACAUUGACAUACCAUCAUCACUCAAAGUUCAUAGUUUACAUUAGGGUUCACUCUUGGUGCUGUGCAUUCUAUGGAUUUGGACAAAUGUAUAAUGCCAGGUACCCACAAUUAUAGUAUCAUACAAAAUAUUUUCACUGCCCUGAAAAUUCUCCAUGCUUCUCUUCUUUAUCCCUCCUUCCCCGUAGCCGCAAGCAACUACUCAUCUUUACAAUCUCCAUAGUUUCGCCUUUUCCAGAAUGUUACAUAGUUGGAAUCACACAGCAUGUAGCCUUUCAGAUUAGCUUCUUUCUCUUAGUAAUAUGCACGUAUGCCUCUUCCAUGUCUUUUCAUGGCUUGAUAGCUCAUUUAUCUUUAGUACUGACUAAUACUCUGUUGUCUGGAUGUACCACAGUUUAUUUAUUCACAUACUGAAGAACAUCUUGGUUGCUUCCAAGUUUUGCCAGUCAUGAAGAAAUCUGCUAUAAACAUUGUAUGCCUGUUUUUGGGUAGAAAGCCUUAUUUUUUAUUACAUUAAACAUGUAAUAUAUGGAGUUUACCUCUGCCAUUUCAGAGUGCCCAACACACAGCAGGAUUGUUACUUGGUUUUCAACUCCUGACUCUUUUCCAAAUGUCUAGUGCAGAUUUCUGUGCCUAGGUGGGUAACAGUGGGAACUUCUGGGACCCCCAGCUGUUGGUCUGACCUUCAUUCAGUAUCCUUCUGGUCAGUCACAUCUCUCAUCUUUGCAUUUGACUCUGCUCUUAAUGCCAAUGAAUCUAAAAACUCAGACAUAGCUUGUCCCUACAUCUUUAGUGAGUUUGUUCAUGCUUUCACAAUAGUCUUGAAUUUCAGGAAAAAAAGUAUAUCAUUCAAUGAUGGCAACAUAAUGCUGCAGAGUUUGGUUACAUAGAAUAUUCUGAUGCAUGAAAAUGAUGUGCAAAUAAAAAAGUGAUAAAGAUGGUCAAAGAUAUACAGGAGGCACUACUGAUAGAAAUGAGUUUAAAUUUAGGAAAAAGGGCAAAUUUACUUAGGGAAUAGAGGUGCUAGAAAUCUAUAAUGAAAUUGCCACAUUACUCUUGAGUAUACACAGAUUGAAAGACUGUGAAGUGGUGAUUGCAAAUGUUCAGGGUUUUUUAAUUAUACUUUAAGUUUUAGGGUACAUGUGCACACGUGCAGGUUUGUUACAUAUGUAUACAUGUGCCAUGUUGGUGUGCUGCACCCAUUAACUCGUCAUUUACAUUAGGUAUAUCUCCUAAUUCUAUCCCUCCCCCUCCCCCCACCCCACAACAGGCCCCAGUGUGUGAUGUUCCCCUUCCUGUGUCCAUGUGUCCUCAUUGUUCAAUUCCCAUCUAUAAGUGAGAACAUGCAGUGUUCGGUUUUUUGUCCUUGCGAUAGUUUGCUGAGAAUGAUGGUUUCCAGUUUCAUCCAUGUCCCUACAAAGGACAUGAACUCAUCCUUUUUUAUGGCUGCAUAGUAUCCCAUUGUGUAUAUGUGCCACAUUUUCUUAAUCCAGUCUAUCAUUGUUGGACAUUUGGGUUGGUUCCAAGUCUUUGCUAUUGUGAAUAGUGCCACAAUAAGCAUACGUGUGCAUGUGUCUUUAUAGCAGCAUGAUUUAUAAUCCUUUGGGUAUAUACCCAGUAAUGGGAUGGCUGGGUCAAAUGGUAUUUCUAGUUCUAGAUCCCUGAGGAAUCGCCACACUGACUUCCACAAUGGUUGAACUAGUUUAUAGUCCCACCAACAGUGUAAAAGUGUUCCUAUUUCUCCACAUCCUCUCCAGCACCUGUUGUUCCCUGACUUUUUAAUGAUCACCAUUCUAACUGGUGUGAGAUGGUAUCUCAAUGUGGCUUUGAUUUGCAUUUCUCUGAUGGCCAGUGAUGAUGAGCAUGUUUUCAUGUCUUUUGGCUGCAUAGAUGUCUUCUUUUGUGAAGGGUCUGUUCAUAUCCUACACCCACUUGUUGAUGGGGUUGUUUGUUUUUUUCUUAUAAAUUUGUUUGAGUUCUUUGUAGAUUCUGGAUAUUAGCCCUUUGUCAGAUGAGUAGAUUGCACAAAUUUUCUCCCAUUCUGUAGGUUGCCUGUUCACUCUGAUGGUAGUUUCUUUUGCUGUUCAGAAGCUCUUUAGUUUAAUUAGAUCCCAUUUGUCAAUUUUGGCUUUCAUUGCCAUUGCUUUUGGUGUUUUAGACAUGAAGUCCUUGCCCAUGCCUAUGUCCUGAAUGUUAUUGCCUAGGUUUUCUUCUAGGGUUUUUAUGGUUUUAGGUCUAACAUUCAAGUCUUUAAUCCAUCUUGAAUUAAUUUUUGUAUAAGGUGUAAGGAAGGGAUCCAGUUUCAGCUUUCUACAUAUGGCUAGCCAAUUUUCCCAGAGACCAAUGACUUUCUUCACAGAAUUGGAAAAAACUACUUUAAAGUUCAUAUGGAACCAAAAAAGAGCCCUUAUUGCCAAGUCAAUCCUAAGCCAAAAGAACAAAGCUGGAGGCAUCACGCUACCUGGCUUCAAACUAUACUACAAGGCUACAGUAACCAAAACAGCAUGGUACUGGUACCAAAACAGAGAUAUAGACCAAUUGAACAGAACAGAGCCCUCAGAAAUAAUGCCACAUAUGUACAACUAUCUGAUCUUUGACAAAUCUGACAAAAACAAGAAGUGGGGAAAGCGAAUAUUCAGUUUUGAUGAAGUUGCUUUAAAUGAUUCGUUUGGAGAUGAGGCUGAAUUUUUAAAAAUAUCCAAACAAUUUUAAGCAAAAAGAGCAGAAAUAAAUGCCUGAAAAUUAUGUAUAGAAAAAUAGAAAAAAGUAGGACAACUUUAUCACCUCAAACCAAGAGUUUAAUGAGAUAUAUAAAGCUGCAUUAAAAAGCUGAAAAUUUGAGAAACUGCUCACAUGAUGCACCAAAAUUUCCAGGAAGAGGAAAACUAGAGAUAAGAAUUUUCAUUUGGCACAAAUUUUCCUCUUGAACUACUUGUUUUCAAUUAAAUGAUCAGUUACUCCCUGGAGUAACAAUGAUGUUAGACCCCUUGAGGUUGACUCUAGAUCAUUCCUUGGGAAAAUGGCGGUGAUCCCUUCUCACAUGUGAGAUGAGGCCAGUCUUACUGGAUGGGCUUCCCAACAGCUUUCUCCUUCCCUUACACUGUGGCCUUGGGUAGGUCUCUUUUGCUUUAGGAGCUUUAAUGCCUCUAUCUGGGCAAUGAGGAAUGAGGGGAUUUGACCACAUAUUCUUUGAGGGUCUUCUUCCCUUUUAUGAGUUUUCAAACACUACUGUGCACCAUCAAUCUCAAAACAAUUACCCAAGACAUAAUUUUAAAAUUAUUUUAUUUCAGUAGUUUUUGAGAGACAGGUGGUUUCUGCUUACAUGGAUAAGUUCUCUAGUGGUGAUUUCUGAGAUUUUAGUGCAGGCAUCACCUGAGCAGUGUACACUGUACCCAAUAUGUAGUCUUUUAUCUCUCACCCCACUCCUCACCUUCCCCACCGACUCCCAAAAGUCCAUUAUAUCACUCUUAUGCCUCUACAUUCUCAUAGUUUAACUCCCACUUAUAAGUGAGAAGAUAUGGUAUUUGGUUUUCUAUUCCUGAGUUACUUCACUUAGAAUAAUGGCCUCCAGUUUCAUCCAAGUUGCUGCAAAAGGCAUUAUUUUGUUCUUUUUUUUAUGGCUGAGUAGUAUUCCCUGGUGUACAUGUACCACAUUUUAUUGAUCCAUUCAUUGGCCAUUGGGCACUUAGGUUGGUUCCAUAUCUUUGCAAUUGCGACUUGUGCUGCUAUAAAUAUGCAUGCACAGGUGUCUUUUUAAUAUAAUGACUUCUUUUCUUUUGGGUAGAUACCUAGUAGUGGGAUUGCUGGAUUGAAUGGUAGUUCUACUUUUAUUUCCUUAAGGAAUCUCCAUAUCAUUUUCCAUAGUGGUUGUAUUAAUUUACAUUCCUACCAGCAGUGUAAAAGUGUUCCCUUUUCACCACAUCAAUCCCAACAGCUAUGGUUUUUUUGACAUCUUAAUUAUGGCCAUUCUUGCAGGAAUAAGGUGGUAUCUCAUUGCGGUUUUAAUUUGCCUUUCCCUGAUGAUUAGUGAUGUUGAACGUUUUUUCAUGUUUGUUGGAUGUUCAUAUCUUCUUUUGAAAAAUGUCUAUUUGUGUCGUUUGCCCACUUUUUGAUGGGAUUAUUAUUAUUAUUUUUUCUAGCUUAUUUGAGUUCCUUGUAGAUUUCGGAUACUAGUCUUUUGCCAAGACAUGAUUUUGUUAGUCACAAAGUUCCUUUGCCUUAUUUCCUCCAGUCAAGGAUCAUCUUAAUGAUGAACUCACUAAUGCCCAAGCUCAAAAGUGACAGAGAGGAUUCUGGGGAGGUACACAGAGAGGCUUCUGAUUGUGAUCAAAAGAGGUGGCCCACAUGUUGAAAAUAGCAGAAAGUUUACUCAUACAAUAAUCCCAUAAAUUGUAAUAACUCCCAUCAAAAACUGUAAAGGUUGAACUGCUCGUUAUACUUUCAUGCCCAGCCUUCAGACUGCCAUUUUCUGAUUGUUUUACCUCCACGGCUGUCCUUAACAUACACUGUAACCAAUUUUUACUUUGAAAUAAUCAUAUACCAUUGUGUGUGCGUGUGUCCUGCUAUCUGUACAUCUCUUGUUCAAGGCAAUGUUGAAUUGUGCUUGUUUGAGUACAUUAACAUUUCCCUCUCAAAUGGACUUAUUUAUAAAGCACAAUAUGUUAUGCAUAGGCUGACCACUUUAUCCCUGUCUUAAAAUGAGUGAAGUAUAUUGGGUGCAUGGAUAAUGAUCACUUUUAAUUUUUCUUUUUCUCCUCUUUAUGGCAGUGUCUGGCAACAUUCCCCUAUGAUUUUAUAUUGAAUGGAAUAAACAUGUUGUAGGGAGAAAGGGAAAUUUGGGAUGGAGGGUGAUAUGAGCAGUUACCCACUCCUUUGUGCAAAGAGAACACUAUCCUUGCAUCAUACAUUGAACAGCAGUUUACCAAUGAUGUCAAUUUAUUUUACAAUGGCCUCAAAAUGAGUAGGGAUUAUUAUUCCUUUGAACAUGUGAGAAAACAGAGGCCAAGAAAGUUACAUUAACAGGUCAAGUAUUUCCAACAUAUCCGUGUAUGUAGGCAUGAGCACACACUGAGUAAUUUGUCCUGAACCACCCCUUUUCUAAGGAAGUCCUUCCUAAUGUAAUAUAUCCUGAAGGGCAGCUUCUAGGGCAAAGUAACAUGAUAGUAGAUGGCAGUCUUCCAAGGAGUUACUGGUUUCCCUAGGUCUCUAGUUCCUUGCUUAUGUGAGUAUUAAGGCAAAUUGAGUGGGAUAUUGCAGCACUGGGUUAUCACUCACAUGCUAACUUGCGUGGGAAAAUGUCUCCCCUGCAAAGAUUAAUUAAGAAUCAGUCCUUUGGAAUUCUGUGCUUUAAAGUGAAUUACUGGUGGUUUCUGUGAAGUUAAAGGGACAGACACUGCUUUUAAUGGUUGUUAAAUGGAAACUACAGAGGAGUGUAAGUGGGCGGUACAGCUGCAUUUGUAAAAAUUCAGGUUGUUUUUAAUUAACACCACAUGAAGCAUCCAGCCACAGCAUAUUCCCCCAGUUCAAUGAUGUCUGUAGGUACUGGAGGCCAGAAUUCUUAAAAUUGCUUCCAUGUUGUGCUAGAUGCAGCAGUGAUUGAGUACUAUUGCUCAGGGCAAUUGGGGUAAUAGGAACCUCAUCAGUUAGCUAAAGAGGUGUGGAUAGGAGAUUGGGGUAAAAAGGUCAAACCUGGUCCAAGGCUGGUUUCAGAGCCAGGUAUCCCCACCUGGCAGUAACCAGGGAGUAAGGAUUUACCCUUAACAACUCAGCUGGCCUCAAGCCUUCAAGGCCUGGAAAAGGAAAAUGCUUCUGGGUUCACAUGGCCAGGCAGGCUGGAGUCUAGACACAGGAGCACUGAUCAUUGCUUUUCCUUUCACAGAUGAAGAACUCAAAAGGCACAAGGAGGUUACACCAGUUGUUCAAGGCAUGGGGGGGUGGCCCACAAUCCUGCUGCUGCUGCUCUUCCCUUCAGGUGGAUGACUCAGUCUUUUCCACAAAUUUAAGGUAGAAAAGGGUAGUCAGUUUUAAUGCCAUGCAGAGCAGACUCACUUUGCAUUUAUCAUUGAAAAGUAGGAGGUCAAAGAAUUGACAGUAGUUGAAUAAUCAUUAUACAGGCAGUCAAGCCUCACUGAUUUGAAUCAGUGGAGUGGGACUGGUCUGAUUAUAAAGAUUUACAAGAAAUGCAUCUCAAUAAAUUUAGGAUGCAAUUAGGGUCAGAUAAGUAUGAGAUAAGUGUAGGUAAAAAAGCAUACUAAGUGAGUGUAAAAAGUCCUCCAUGCUUUAAAGUUUUUUUUUUUUUUUUUUUUUUUAACUAGGUCAAGCACAACCCAUGCUAGCUAGUUUACACUAUUAAUUUACUUCUCAGGUAGCUAUUGCAAAGAUAAAUGUAAGCCUGGAUUUUGCCCAACUUUUCAGAAAUUUGGACUAGGGGAAUCUGGACCAGGCUUGAAAUGGUGUAUGAUAAAAGCAGGAUUUCAUUAGAGUGGGUCAAAAACUAGGGCUCUGAAAUAAAGAUAGGCAUAUGAAAUUCAAUUCAAAAAUAUUUAAUGACAUCUACUAUGUGAAAAGCACAGGGCAAGGCUGUAAGGGGUAUAGAGAUGAAGCAUAUAUAGAAAGCAACUUAUACAGAGUGGAUAUAACCCUCACAUAUGCAACUGUGGUUAAUGUGCAUGGUAAGAAUGGGAGACUGGGAUGACCUGACUAGCCUUGGGUGCCUAAGGAGAUGAUGGGGAGCCAGGGAAAGUUUUUGAUUAGGGGAACAACAUGACCAGAGCUGUGGUUUUCUUUCUGAAUAUUUUAAGUUCCAGGGUACAUGUGCAGAAUGUGCAGGUUUGUUACAUAGGUAUACACAUGCCAUGGUGGUUUCCUGCACCCAUCAACCCAUCAUCUACAUUAGGUAUUUCUCCUAAUGCUAUCCCUCCCCUAGCCCCCCACCCCUAAACAGGCCCCAGUGUGUGAUGUUCCCCUCCCUGUGUCCAUGUGUUCUCAUUGUUCAGCUCCUACUUAUGAGUGAGAACAUGCGGUGUUUGGUUUUCUGUUCUUGUGUUAGUUUGCUGAGAAUGAUGGUUUCCAGCUUCAUCCAUGUCCCUGCAAAGGACAUGAACUCAUCCUUUUUAUGGCUGCAUAGUAUUCCAUGGUGUAUAUGUGUCACAUUUUCUUUAUCCAGUCUAUUAUUGAUGGGCAUUUGUGUGGUUCCAAGUCUUUGCCAUUGUGAACAGUGCCACAGUAAACAUGUGUGCAUGUGUCUUUAUAGUAGAAUGAUUUAUAAUCCUUUGGGUAUAUACCCAGUAAUGGGAUUGCUGGGUCAAAUGGUAUUUCUAGUUCUAGAUCCUUGAGAAAUCAUCACACUGUCUUCCACAAUGGUUGAACUAAUUUACACUCCCACCGACAGUGUAAAAGUGUUCCUAUUUCUCCACAUCCUCUCCAGCAUCUGUUGUUUCCUGACUUUUUUUUUUCUUUUCUUUGAGAUGGAGUUUUGCUCAGUUGCUCAGGCUGGAGUGCAGUGGCGAGAUCUCGGUUCACUGCAAGCUCUGCCUCCCAGGUUCACACCAUUCUCCUGCCUCGGCCUCCCGAGUAGCUGGGUAUACAGGCGCCCGCCACCAUGCCCAGCUAUUUUUUUUUUUUUUUUGUAUUUUUAGUAGAGACGGGGUUUCACUGUGUUAGCCAGGAUAGUCUCAAUCUCCUGACCUUGUGCAUUCUGCCUGCCUUGGCCUCCCAAAGUGCUGGGAUUACAGGCGUGAGCCACCACACCCGGCCCUCCUGACUUUUUAAUGAUCACCAUUCUAACUGGCGUGAGAUGGUAUCUCAUUGUGGUUUUGACUUGUGUUUCCCUAAUGACCAGUGAUGAUGAGCUUUUUUUCAUCUUUGUUGGCUGCAUACAGAAUGGGAGAAAAUUUUUGCAAUCUAUCCAUCUGACAAAGGGCUAAUAUCCAGAAUCUACAAAGAACUUAAACAAAUUUACAAGAAGAAAACAACCCCAUCAAAAAGUAGGUGAAGGAUAUAAAGAGACACUUCUCAAAGAAGACAUUUACACAGCCAGAGCUGUGUUUUAAGAGCAGUCACAGAUGUGAGAAUCUGAACAGGCGGUUAAGGAAUUGCUGCAUUGUUUGAAUGAAAAGCCUGGUCCAAGAAUUAUAAGCCAUGGAAGUUAACUGGAUGUGAAGAAAGGAAAAGGCCUCAAAAGAGGCCCUGAGACUUUCAGCCUGGGAGAUUUGGCAUGAUGAUAAGGGUCGGUCAUGUAACCAGGGAGGGGACUGCAUUGAAGACAGUUUUGGCUUUGGACAUUUGACUGUGAUCCCCGUGGGUUGCACAGUUGGAGACAUGCAGUGCACUUGGUAUAUGGUCUUGACUUUGAUGAAGCUGGAUCUAAAUUACAAAUUUGAGAAUCAGCUGCACAGAGGUAAGAUAUGAAUGUGGGAAUUAGAGGUAGAGAGUGAAUAAAAGCAAAGAGCUGGGGUCUGAACAGUGGGUAAUUAAUCCUAUGUUUAGAAAGUGGUACAUGUGGUCUGUUUAUUCUCUGUACCUCUAACUCUGACUGAGGAUAAAAAAGGGACCAGUGAGUUUUUCUGCAACGAGUUAUACGAUUACGUGGUGCAGUCAAUGACUACAUUUCCUCUAUGCUGACAGAUUAUCUUUAAAUUACAAUAAAAAUGAUCCUAUGGUCAUUCCCAGUUUUUGCUUUUCUUUUCUCUGUCUGUGCUAAAUGCACUUUGGGCUCUUGAUUUACUGUUAGAAAUUUCCUGUGUAGUUUGGGGCCGAGAGUCAGGGGGUCAGGUUUUGGGAUUUGAAACCCAAACAAAUCUUUCCCUGCUUCCUACAGUACUCUCAAAUUAAUUUAGGGGUCAGAGGAUAUCCUGUGAAAAUAUCAAGAGGAACCUAGACUUUUGUUUCUGCGGGGAUCUGAAAGAAACGCACAUUUGAAGAAACGCAUGAAGUUCAUUCCAGGGUAGUCAAAUUCUACUAAUGACUGAGAACAUUUAUGUACCAACUAUCAGAAUCAAUUUCUGAAAUAAAUAUGUGAAAAGAUAAGCAUGCUUAACUUUACUGAAGAAGUUACAGAAGAUGAGAUGCAGUACAGGAAAUCCAAGAACCCAGAUCAAACAUUAAAACAUAAACAAAAUAAGAAAAUUUUAUUUUGGCCCAUCCAAUUUAACUAAUGUUUACCAAGUGCCUACUACACUUUUUGUGCUUUGACCACAAAAAACAUAAAGCGUUACCAGAAUGUGGAUGGGUACUCUACAAAAUUAGUCAUGAUUUCUGUUCUCAGGGAGUACACUAAUGUGUGAACUUAUAUAUAAAUAACAACAAUAGCAAAGACAACAAUAAACCAACUGUAAUGCAAUGUAAAGUGAAAUCAGUGGUGAGCUGAGUCAAAGAAGCACAGAGUAUGAGGGGUGAUACCAUUAGUUCUGACUAGAGGAUCAAGAAGGUUUUCUCGGGAGAGGUGGCCUUUGAGCGACAUCCUUGAGGAUAGUAAUGGCAAGCACAGUAGUAGGUGGUGGUGGUGACGAUGAUGAUGAUGGUGAAAAGAGCAGCUGCCAAUCACUAAAUUCUUAUGAUUUACCUAGCUCUAUAUUGUUUGCUGAAGAACUUCUAUGUUAUUAAUAUUUUAACUGGUAAAGCACAGGAAGGGGAUUUCAGAUAAUAAAAAGAAUGGAAUAAACAUGUUUGUGUGUUGGUAGGUGUAGAACGGAGAGUCAUUUGGUGUGUUCAAGGUCCACUGUGCAUGGUGGGUUGUAGUACAAAAUAAGAUUGAAAGAGGAGUAGGAACCAGAGCAGCAAAAAGCUGCCAAUGCUUUAUGAAUUACACAAGUCAUACGUAGAGCUCUCUGGUUACUUGUGUGGAAAGUUGACCCCACUGAGCUAAGCAGGAUGGGCUUGUGGUGUGUGCAUCUGUCCUCUCAAACCGAAUGAAAUGCUCUCUGGCAUUGCAUAAUCAGCAGCAAAUCUUCCUCCUCAAGGCUUAUGAAGAAAAGACCUUGAACCCAGUCUUCUGGUGGCUCUAGUAAAGACAGAUUUGGUGACGGCCUAGAAGAUUUCAUUAACAAAGGAUGGCCAAUACAUUACAAUCAAAGAAAAAGCUGGGCAUUGCUUUCUCAGAUGAUAUGGUUCUUUUCCACUUUAAUUCACAUGAUUCCUAAAGCAUCUGGCUUUCCUCUAUUUUAUUUUAGGAAUUCCAUAUAUAACUAAAAUAACCUACAAGCACCUCGACAUUUUGCUAACAAAAAAAAUACUUUUUAUUAUUUUUGAAAUCAACUGAUUCCACAGUUUAAAACACAGUGGGGAAAAAAAAGCCUAUUCAUGCUGUAGGUGUCUUUAUGGGAAAAAAUUCAGAGAAUUCUGAUAGCUCUGAAAGAGAUAGGAAAACAGAAAAAUAAUGACCCCAGGGAAAGAUAUUAUAUUUUUAAAACAAGUUGAAAUAUCUUCAAGAUACUAAUUGUGGUCUCUUUCUUUAAAGUAUGUGGUCAUUUGGGGAAUAGGGAGGGAAUGCAUGUGUGUGGCGGGAGGGUUUAAUCAGCUUGAUAAAGCUCCUCGGUUUAUUCCAGUUGGGCUGAGUCCAGUUGAGAUUAGGAAGGAACAGAAAGGUUUCUCUAUAGAACAAUUAGUGGGGUAUGAGGAAUAUUCAGUUGUGGUUUUUAGUUUUCAUAAAUCUCAAGCAAAAUGAAGAAAUAACAAUGACAAAAUAAAUACAACCAAACAUUCAAAGACUCAUAUCUGCAUUUUUACAAGAUUUUGGAGACAGCAAAAUCAUAUUUGGGACUCACUUCUCUGGACCCUGAUAUACAGUAUGCUUGCUCUCAAAUGUAGAAUUCAGAUUUCUUCCAAGGUCCCUGGGCAUUCUAGGAGCAAAGGCACAUUCAGAUGCAGGGACCAGACCAGUUUCCUAAGUUUCCAUGCAUCCAUGAGUUUUGGUUUAUAGUGAAAAAUGUUAUCUUUAAAAUUCCAGACAUUUCUAGGCAAGCUGUUAGCAUGAAAGUUGCUGUUUCUUCCCUUUCGAAUUCACCUUGAAGCAAGCAACAGAAUAUGCAGAAAAGAGGAAAAGAAAUCUUUAUCAACAUGAGUGAAUAGUAAAGGGUGUCAUCCACAUGCUGGACAGUUGGGUAUUUGGUUAGAUGUAAUGCAACCAGUAUAUAGUGGAAUGAGCAAACUGUUGUAAAAAUACUGAAAUACUUUUAUACUGGUUGUCAUACAGGUACUUCCUGGAGUGUCUUGAGUGCUCUCAUGCUGUCCUUGAUAUCCAGGUGGUUACCUCCUUUGGAAACCCUUGAGUCUCCCCAUGGACCAGCAAAUGACAAGAUAAUGCUUGGCAGAGUAUAGUGAUAUCUAGAGUCUGACUUCAGUAUUACAGUUAAUGUUCAUUCUAAUUGUCCGAGCUGUUAAAUUAUAGUUUAAAUGUCAGCACUCUUGAUUUGACAGCUGAGAUGGUGUAUGAGGGAAGUAUUAUUGUUAUUUAGUGUUUAUCUUCCCAAAACAAUAUCUGCUUCUUUGUGAGAACUGCUUUCUGCCUACAUCAAAUAUGAAGUUCUGAUGGGGGAUGACAAAUAGCUCAUUAUUCCUUUGGCUACAGUAAUUGGUUGGUUCAGGGAUGGCCCUUUAACUCAAGCCAGGCCAAUAAAAUAAUUUGUUGGUGUAUUUGUUAUUUUUUAACAGGAGCUGCCACUGUUAGGUUACAAAAUAGAGGAUACUGGAAUUCUCCACAACAAUGAUCCUACCACAUGAAGGAAUUUGUCUAAAAAUAAAUAAAUAAGUAAAGGUAUACACCAGGAGAAGCAGAGUUAGAGAUUCCAGGGAAGUCCUCAGAAUGCUGAGUACCUGGGUCUAGUUGUUUAUACAGAUCCCAUUCUGUCCCCAUCCUUUCUGAUCCUGUUAUAGUUUGAUUUGGAUAUUUGUUACUUUCAAUAAAAAAGUCUUUACAUAAGAAGUAAAUGAGAGGGAAUCCUAGGAGACCCCCUGUGAAUACUCCAGGUGGAGAGGGCACUGGCCUCCAUAGAGAGGCAACAUUUGUUCCCCAUGAGCAAUGCAAGGAAGCACAGAGCAUAGUUCCUGGUGGAAGUGGUCACACCUACCCAAGACAUGGACAUGGGUCCUGUGUCCCCCAUCUGUGCUGAGAUGGAGCUUUCAGCUGUAACUCAGAUAUGACGUCUUCUGCUUCCUGACUCCAUAUGCUAGGUAUUUGGGUUGGUAAUCUAUUGUGGGGUUGUGUGGGCUUUUUUUUUUCCUGCUUUAAUAUCUUUAAUCUGUGUGGAGUUUCUUCUAUUAGUUUCUGCCAGAAAGAUGCAGACCAGGUUUUCACAAAUCCCAACUUAAAUCCUGAAUAUGGAGCCAAUGUCAGAUAACAUUGUCAACCUUAUUGUGUGCUGGGUGCUGUAAUUUGCAUGCAUUGCCUCAUUUAAUCCAUGUAAGGAUUUUAUGAGGUAGUACUGAUAUUCCGACUAUUUUACAGAUGGAGAAACAGGUGAGGAAAGGCCACAGAGCUAAAAAGUGCUGGAGUCAUAACUGGAACCCCAGCUAUCUGACCCCUUAUUUGUAUUGUUACACUAUGAAUAAAGUUUUUAAAAUAUAUAUAUUUUUAAUAGAGAGUAGCCCCAAGAAAGCACUAAACUUCUGGAGCUUAAUUUUCGGGGAAGCCUCCAUUCUAACCUUGUCCAUUCUGUUGCAUUCCCCGUGAGCAUCCUUAAUCUAGUUUGAGCUGGGUUUUUGGCUAUUUUCAACUUUCAACCCCAAAGUGCUUGGCUAAAUAGAGAAUGGAAGGAGACUUUGAAGGCUUGCAUGAAUACUUAAGGCAGAGAGGUGAACACCAGCUGCAAGGCAAAAGAAGGGAGAUUUCUUCCUGCGAGCGGCUAGGCGAGGCAAGAUGGCAGACCUCUGAGGGCCUUCUGCCUGUCAGGAGGUGGCUGAAAUACCCUGACAGCUCAGAACUGUUUGCUUGAAGUAACUUCACUGUACGAAAAUAAGAACAUUUGAGAAAGUAUUUGAUGAGUAUUCCAAACUCAGUAGGGGAGUAGAAGCAGUGAAGUAAUGGGAGCAAAUUAUGUAUACAUGUGUUAAAACAUUACAUUAUAUCCCAUAAAUAGGUGCCGUUGUUAUGUGUCAAUUAUUAAAAGAAAAAAAAAAAACCA
This 14167-nucleotide long non-coding RNA is filed under the name Homo sapiens (human). RNAcentral's name for it is "non-protein coding LINC01376:10". The record is from RNAcentral. Lineage: Eukaryota; Metazoa; Chordata; Mammalia; Primates; Hominidae.